CUCGGCGCACGCCGGGCGCGGAGGACAGCCACCUGCUCCCCGCGCGGCGCGGAGCCGGGAACGUCCGACGCCGCCGAGCCAGCGCUGCCACGCGGCUGCCCGCGCCGCCCGCCUGUUGCUGCGUGGCCGAGGCGGCAGGCGCUCGCAGCGGACCGACGCGCUCAACCUGGGAGAUGGCAAACCUUUCCUACAGAAGCCGCCCAUCUGACCAACAAAACCACAGGACAAAAAGUUCUAUUCAAGGAGGGAACAAUAAGAAGGCAAAAAAGGUCAACAUUCCUAGGUUGGAAACCACAUCUGCCUUGUUGGCCGAGGUAUGCCCAGCGCUGGCCAGAGGACGCAUGCUUUGUGAAUCUCUGUGGAGUACAGGAGGGACUGUGGAGGGCAAGGAACUUAUUCAGGGUAGAUUUUCACUCCCCCUGAAGAAACGAAAUGAAAGCAAACUUUGGUGGUUUUUGUUUAAC
Molecule: long non-coding RNA, 464 nt
Filed under: Camelus dromedarius (Arabian camel)
Lineage: Eukaryota; Metazoa; Chordata; Mammalia; Artiodactyla; Camelidae
Description: lncRNA (ENSCDRG00005017443.1)
Source: RNAcentral